Molecule: ribosomal RNA, 465 nt
Filed under: uncultured bacterium
Lineage: Bacteria
Description: partial 16S ribosomal RNA
Rfam family: Bacterial small subunit ribosomal RNA
Source: RNAcentral
GACGAACGCUGGCGGCGCGCCUAACACAUGCAAGUCGAACGAGCGAGAGAGAGCUUUCUUUCUCGAGCGAGUGGCGAACGGGUGAGUAACGCGUGAGGAACCUGCCCCAAGAGGGGGACAACAGUUGGAAAAGACUGCUAAUACCGCAUAAGCACAUGACGCGGCAUCGGGUAGAGGGAAAAGGAGCAGUAUGCUUUGAGUUGGACUCGCGUCCGAUUAGCUAGUUGGUGAGGGAACGGCCCACGAAGGCGCCGGUCGGUAGCCGGGCUGAGAGGUUGAACGGCGACACUGGGACUGAGACGCGGCCCAGACUCCUACGCGAGGCAGGAGUGGGGAAUAUUGCACAAUGGGGGAAACGCUGAUGCAGCGCCGACGGGUGGAGGAAGAAGGUCUUCGGAUUGUAAACUCCUGUUGUUGAGGAAGAUAAUGACGGUACUCAACAAGGAAGUGACGGCUAACUACGUG